AUACUCUUGUUUCUCUUCAGAGCGUAUAAAUCUUUCGCCUUUUACUAAAGAUUUCCGUGGAGAGGAACACUUUGAGUUCAAACUAAUUUUUUGAUGCUCUGCCUCGUGCGGGGCU
This 115-nucleotide small nuclear RNA is filed under the name Cottoperca gobio. Its description in RNAcentral is "U5 spliceosomal RNA (ENSCGOG00000006693.1)". It matches the Rfam family "U5 spliceosomal RNA". Rfam says of the family: U5 RNA is a component of both types of known spliceosome. The precise function of this molecule is unknown, though it is known that the 5' loop is required for splice site selection and p220 binding, and that both the 3' stem-loop and the Sm site are important for Sm protein binding and cap methylation. Lineage: Eukaryota; Metazoa; Chordata; Actinopteri; Perciformes; Bovichtidae. The record is from Rfam by way of RNAcentral.